UUGUGAAGAAGACGUGGACUUUAUCAAUUAUGCAGUCGUGGGGCAGCAUGAAUGUAGCAAUACAUUUGAUGGCGACCGGCAAACGGGUGCGGAACACGUACACAACCUUCCUAUAAGUGGGGAAUAGCCCAGAGAAAUUUGGAUUAAUACCCCGUAACAUAACGAUGUGGCAUCACAUUGUUAUUAUAGCUUCGGCGCUUAUUGAUGGGUGUGCGGCUGAUUAGAUAGUUGGCGGGGUAACGGCCCACCAAGUCUACGAUCAGUAGCUGAUGUGAGAGCAUGAUCAGCCACACGGGCACUGAGACACGGGCCCGACUCCUACGGGAAGGCAGCAGUUAAGGAUUAUUGUUCAUUGACCGCAAGCUCUGAACAGGCCAUGGCCGCCGUUGAAAGAAUAUAAGGUCCCUCUGAAUUGAAAACUUCUUUAUAUCUGGGAGCAGACAGAAAAGAGGGCUAUUUCUUCGUCACUUGACGGUACCAGAUGAAUAAGCACCGGCUAACUCCGUGCCAGCAGCCGCGGGUAAUACGGAGGGGUGCAAGCGUUAUCCGGAUCCGGAUGUCACUGGGUUUAAAGGGUGCGUAGGCGGGCAGGUAAGUCAGUGGUGAAAUCCUGGAGCUUAACUCCAGAACUGCCAUUGAUACUAUCUGUCUUGAUAUUGUGGAGGUAAGCGGAAUAUGUCAUGUAGCGGUGAAAUGCUUAGAUAUGACAUAGAACACCUAUUGCGAAGGCAGCUUACUGCGCAUAUUAUUGACGCUGAGGCACGAAAGCGUGGGGGAUCAAAACAGGAUUAGAUACCUGGUAGUCCACGCCCUAAACGAUGGAUACUCGACAUAACGGCG
RNAcentral lists this ribosomal RNA (840 nucleotides) under uncultured bacterium. RNAcentral's name for it is "bacterial SSU rRNA". It matches the Rfam family "Bacterial small subunit ribosomal RNA", at positions 24 to 830 of the family's 1533-position model. The record is from RNAcentral.